GAUGAAGAACGUAGUGAAAUGCGAUAAGUAAUGUGAAUUGCAGAAUUCAGUGAAUCAUCGAAUCUUUGAACGCACAUUGCGCCCCCUGGAAUUCCGGGGGGCAUGCCUGUUCGAGCGUCUCAGGGACGAACCCUCGCGCGGGUGUACGCGCGGUCGUGGCUGCGGUGGCGUGCCCGAGGCGGCGGCCACCGCGCUGGAAUCCAUGGGCGGACGCCUGCCGCGUGGCCGAGCGUGAUAUGACGCAUUGGCGCUCGCACGCGGAGAGGCUGCCAGCCCUGGCCCGUCUGUCGGGCGGGGGAGAGCAAGACACGUGAACUCCUCGAAUCAGGUAGGGAUACCCGCUGAACUUAAGCAUAUCAAUAAGCGGAGGA
RNAcentral lists this unclassified non-coding RNA (371 nucleotides) under soil metagenome. Its description in RNAcentral is "partial contains 5.8S ribosomal RNA, internal transcribed spacer 2, and large subunit ribosomal RNA". The stretch from base 1 to 120 matches the Rfam family "5.8S ribosomal RNA", at positions 35 to 154 of the family's 154-position model. The record is from RNAcentral.